UCUGCUGCCACCACUGUCCUUGUUGUGUGUUUAUUUUGUUACUGAGAGGAAAAUGUGCAGUACAUAUUACAUAUUCUAUCGAACGCCUCUCUCAGCAGCGCAGAUGGCGUCGAGAUAUUAAGUGAGCUCUCAGAUUCAAUGCGUUUCCCGAGUUUUGGAUUUUAACAUGGCCUAUUUUGCAAACAAUAGACUAUUGUCGAUCUCCUUAGUGGUUUAUUUAUAGUUGAAGCCAAAAUGAGUCCGCACUUCAGCUCUGUAUGCCGCGGGAACGGAAUAAUUCUGUAAGCUGGGUUUGCUAAUGCUAACGCUAGCGAUGCACCUCGCGCUUCUCCGGCUCCGCGUCAAUUUACGUUCUGAGAUAACACUGACAUCUAGCGGUUGGGUUUUAAACAGUCUCUGGUUUAAACCGAACAUAAAGCCACGAAUCUUUGAUGUAAAUAAAUAAAUAUCGAUACAGCAUCGCCAAACAUAAUAUCGCGAUAUUCACGUGUAUCGAUAUUUUCUUACACCCCUAUUGAACAACCGGUUCCUUCAGGAAAACGUUCUUCUGAGGUAUCCAUUACUUCAUCAGAACCCCGUCUCGAAUGAAAUAACCCUGUGGGCCACUGUCAUCUGUCCUUACCUGUGAAAAUAAUACAUUCAGGGUGGAAUCUGCUUUUUGUUCCUUACUUAACUCACCCUGAGACACGGAGAGAGGUAGGCCUAUACAGUACGUGGCCACGGAAUACCUUCAUCCGCCACAAACGGUUCUGCACUUUUUAUAGUUGCCACUGCUCGACUGGCAUCAUGCGUAACAACACACGUUGGAAAAACAUCAGGUAACCUCUUUACACUCUUAAUGUCCGCAGUAGAAACAGGUAUAGGUGAAAUAAUCAAAGGUGACAACGCAUCACUCCAAACUCGCCCACCCGCCAGAUCGUUUCCCAAAAUCACAGAAACUCCUUUAACUGGAAAGUCUCACACCGAGUUUAACUUCACCCUGAAUCAAAUCAGAACACAAAACAACCUUAUGUAAGGUACAGACAUUUUAGUUAAUCCAAUUCCACAGAUUGAUAGCAAAUCACCAGUGAAAGUUUCCUUUGAAAAAGGCAACACAGACUCUAAAAUAAAUGACGUUAGAGUUAUUUUACGAAACGUGUGCGAUUUGGGUCUGCAACGUUUGAUCAGAUGUAUAAGGCCCAAAAAAUGUCCCAAAGUGUGUUUCCAGAGCUUAAAGUUAUUAAUUCAAGUGUUCUUGUUAACAUGAUAUAUGAUAAAAUGCUUUUUUUUUUUUUUUUUUUUUGAAGAUUAACAUACUAUUUUUAAUCAUUUUUUCAUUAGUACCUACAUAGCCAAUUUCACAUGUCCGUGUUGACCAACAUGAUAUUUGCAUCUAAAAUAUCACCAAAUAAGUUAUAUAUUUUUUCAAACAUAUACUACUUUCAGGAUUAUAUGUUUGUCCCUGUUUACAUAAAAUAUAUUUAUUCACAAUAAGCCUUAUUUUUUUGUAAAUAUUUUAUGAUUUGUGCGCGUCCCUCAGUUUGACUUAUCACCCCAUCACACUAACUUGUUUUAUUUAUAAAUAGGCUUGUUUGAGAUGCGCCUAGCCUCGCCUGAAAUGUAGGCGAGAGUAGGCGGCUGCAGUGAGGGGAGGAGUGAAAAAAGUGCAGGCAAGACGGACAGUUCUCUGUUCUCGUAGUGGAUCAGACACCUACAAGAUCAAAGGCGGAUAUCGCGGGAUUCACACUCGUGCGCUGUGUUGCUGAUAAACUGGAUGUAAUUUAAGGUCUGUUGAUUUUAUAUGAAAAUAAACAUAAUGAACAAUAGGCUACACGCAAAGUAGCCUACUUGUUAUUUAUUUCCAUUCAAAAGAUGUGUGUAUCAAUCAUUUUUACUUUAAUUAUAGACAUGUUUUUAUAUAUUUUUUUAUAUAGAGAGAUCGCACUGUCAGAGAGUUUGGGAAUAUUCGCACAUUAUUUUUACACAUAAAAACAUGAUAUAAGAGUUUUAAAAUCAAGCAUUUUAAAACAGUUCAAUACAUCACAGUUGUUUAAACCAAUAAGCAUAAAGCUGUGUCGUCAUCAAGUCGUUUCCCAUCGUGCUUUUGGUCAGCGCAGGCGGUGGAGAGCAACUGCGCUCGACUGCAGAAUGCGAUGAGGCCGCCUCGAUUUCGCGAGACUUUUUUUUUGACACACGUCGGCAUGACAUCAGAGCAAGGCGGCCCACCCUCGGACAUACUUCUAACCGGCAUGCAUCUUGCGGUGAUCACCGGUGAUCGGUUCCGCGCAGAAUUUGCUCAUCUCAAACAAGCCUAAUAAGGCACUGUUGCUUUAAAUGACAUCACAAAGCGGAAGUGACAUCAUUUGAGCCUUAUAGCCACCAAGAACAAAAGCAGGCAAUUACUGAUUUUUAUUUUUUUUUUUUUUACAUUGUUUAUUUGUUGCUUUUUCAUGGUCGGCAAGGCCCAUCAAGCUCAAACCAACCACCCCGUCAACGCAAAAUAGAUAGGAAAACUGUUUUUUUAUUUAAUUUUUUUACAUUAUUAACUCAGAGAAAAUUAUAUUUCAGAUUGAAUGCAUGUAUGCUAGGUGAGAAACUUGACCACAUGGGAGAUUUGCAGACAUUUUGGGAUGGAAUUUACCACCCCAUCACAUACCACCCCAUCACGUUUUAUUGUGACGGGGUGGUUCUGCUUCCCGUUUGAAUGUGAGGGUCACAGAAUUGAAAUCAAGGAUUCUUAUAUAUGCUAAUCAAUUUAUUUUGUGUUAACUUAACCCUGUUUGGUUCCAGGGUUGUCAGGUUUUUUCUGAAACCACAUAAAAUAUGUGUUUUUUGGCAGGGUACCCUUGGAAAAAUUAGCAUUGCAAGGGCUAAAUAUCAUGUUAUUUUGGGUCACUUCAACCUGAGAAUGAAAUGAAAAACAACCUGCGGCAACAGUGUAAAAGUAGCCCAAUUGUGGAAAACCACAGACUUGGCAACACUGUUUGGUUCACUCACUCACUCACUCACUCACUCUUUCACUCAGUAUCACUCACUACCUGUUUAAUGAAUAAUGUUACAACCAGCAGAUCAUAUAGAGAAACAUCAGUUACCAUCAGUUACCACCCCGUCACAGGGUAAUUUUGUUAAAAGUUUAUGGAAAGGAAAUGAAAUAUUACAUAAAUUAAUGUUGGAUGAUGUUCUUGUUGUGUGAACUAAUCAGAUAAAUGUAACUUUAUUUGUAUUUUUUUAAGUGAAUUCAUUUUUUCAGUACAAACAAUGAGGUCAUUGAAAUGUCAAAUUCAUAUUUCAAGAUUAAAAAUCUAAGAAUAAUAAUAAUAAUAAUAAUAAUAAACUUAUUAAAUUACAGACUUUCUAUUGAUGGUUUCCAAAAAAGUACUACACUCUAAAAACUCCUGGGUUAUUUCUUUAACCCAUUUUCUGGGUUAUUUGUGUUGGGUUAAAAUGAUGGGUUAUUUUUUCAGAGAGUAACCAUUUUCUGGGUUAUAGGGCUAAUAUUUUGACCCAAUUUCUGGGUUGUUUAGGUUUCUGGGUUAUUUUUCAAAGAGUAAUCCAUGUUCUGGGUUCACGCCCCUUCCCCCCGCCUGUUCUGGAAUUUUCUCACAACAGUCGUUUGAAAUAACCGUUACUUGAACUUCGCGCUCGAUCCGCUUUGGCCUGGGCUUCUUCGGUGCAACUUCGUCGCUUAUUCAAGGUAAGCAAGUAUUUUCAGUGUCAAUGUAACGUAAACUUUUCUGUGUCCAUGUCCCCGUUGCUAGUUUACCACCAUUUGCUGAAAAAAUGACCAUGGCUUACCGUGGUAAUUCUGUGGUUAGCAUGUAGCCGCCCGCGGAUAUCGCGACAACAUCUAACUAGUUUAAAGUCCGUGUAAAGUCAAAAUAAAUAUGUUUUGAGUUUGUCAGACUAAAGAAGAAAGUGUUAUUAACCACCCAGCCAAAUUUGAAUGAUUAAAAAUAACGAUAUGUUCAUGAAAUUAGGUGUCAAAAUGGUUGAAAUGCUUUUUACACAUCGUUGAGAAAUACAUGUAUGACCUAUUUAAUGUGUUUAGAAGAAAAUUACUGAAUUCACUUUACACGGUAUUUAAAUUUUAUUUUUCAUAAACUGUGCACUGUGUACUUAUCUCAUUGUUAUAAUACUGGUAAUAAUACGAUAUACAGUGCGGCUAGUGGCGACUUCAUGCCGCGUUAAGGGGGUCGAACACCGGACGAGAAGCGCCGCGUCUAGGACAACUCGAGGUAUCGCGUACUUUCUCAGUUUAUGGCCAGCAAUAUUAUGUUUAAGGACAUUAUGGGAUUAAGAUAAUGUCAGUACUAUGUUAUGAUUGUACUGUAUAAUUAAAUACAACCGUUGCUGAGUCUGCAGUCUGAACACUUUACCUCAGAGCGUCCGUUAACUGAAUGAAUUGAGAAUAUCACCUGAAAAUCCAAUAACAUCAGCAAUUUUCAUUCAAGUAGCUGAUUUCUGUAAAUUAAUGUAAAACUAAAUUUAAAUACCAGCACAUGGUGAAGUCUGUAUAUACAUUAACGACGAUUUGAGACAAAUAAGUGUAAAUUUAAUAUAAGACUAUGUACAUGGCGCUCUGUGGCGCUGCAGGAUUUUGAACAAGGUCCUGAACCAUUGCUGGGCGCCGCGGACAGACGCCGAAUGGCGCCGCCGGUGUGUGUACACUCAUAGAGAAUAAUGUGUUUGAAUUUUAAAUACGCUUCUCGUCCGGUGUGCGACCCCCUUUAGCCGCGACUAGAGCAACGAGGCAACACAAUAGUUGAGUUAUGUUAACCAGCUGCGCUGUGCUUAUCAUAUUAUACAGUGCUCUACUGGCUUAAGUAGUGAGAGUUAAAGAAGUGUGUCAAGUCUUCAAAUUGUUGCUAACCUCUGUUGCUAUGUUUUCUCCAGGUCAUUUUAAAUGGACAGCUUUGUCGCUGAUAAGCUAACUGAGUGGCGGCUGUCUGAGCUGAUAGAGAAUUUUAGAGGUGAGCGUUUUACUCUUAACUGCCCUCAUACCAUCUCUCUAUACCUAAACAUUUUUCUUUAAUAUGGCUUAAAUGUGUCAGUGCAAGAUUUUGUGACAGUCACAACUUCUUCGACAGUGGGGUUAUGCAGAGCCAACUGGAUCCGGGCUAAUAGCUCCAAGGACAUACUGGAACUCCUCACAGAGUACCCUCAUCUCACCAGUCCGGGCAUGAUAGCGCAGGACUUUCAGGUGCUGCAUGGUGAGGCUGCACCUAAAUUAUUUGAGACCUGGAUCCCUGAAUAUGCUGAAAAGGUCCUGUACUUGGCCAAGCAGGACAAUAAACUCCCUUCACUUUCUGUUGAGGACAUGACACUGGAUGCCAAAGGGGAACUAGCGCUAACACUGCUACCCACCAUGGUGCCACAGGCCGUCUACAGGGUUGGGAAGAAGACUAUCCGGCACUCCAUUGAAGAGUCCCGGACAGCGUUCAUACACCAAAUGCCUGUUGGAACAAAUAUGGUGGAAUACCUCCUGCAAUCGAAGCCAUUCCCCUCUGUCCUGGUGCUGGGAGAUCCCCAGCAAUGUGCUUCUCAGGCAUUUGUGAUAUUAGCUGGUCAGGCACUCCCUCAGAGCACACUGCUUGGGGCAGUUGACGUGUGCUUCAAGGCAUUUUAUGUUCUUGAUAUCAACUACCCCAAGCAGUGUGCUCCCGCAUGGGAGUUUCUGCCGCAAGUUGUGUAUCAGAUUGAGAAAUCUGAAUCAAAACCUGUCAAAUUUCUUAAGACUGCCUUGCUUAAUUGCAGAACUGUUUAAUUGUGUUAAGCUGCAGUAAAUGACACAACCAAUGUUUGAAGACUUUAAGCCUCAAGUUCAGUCCAGUGAUUGAAUGUUGUCAGAUGUUUGAGAGAGAAUGAGUUGUUUAUUUUUCUAUUUUUUCUAAUGUCUAAUGUUAUUACAGUGUGACCUAAAAUAAAUAGGUCCAAGAGUGUGUUUUUUAUAGAGAGUUUAAUUUAAUUUAAUGCAAUAAAAAAGUAAAAGU
Molecule: long non-coding RNA, 5969 nt
Organism: Ctenopharyngodon idella (grass carp)
Lineage: Eukaryota; Metazoa; Chordata; Actinopteri; Cypriniformes; Xenocyprididae
Exons: 4
Source: RefSeq, a predicted model, not a curated record